AAUAAUUUGGCAGAAUAUGCAGUUGAUUUAGGCUCAAAAGAAAACGUAUGUUAAUUAUUA
This 60-nucleotide transfer RNA is filed under the name Camaena poyuensis. RNAcentral describes it as "tRNA-Leu". Lineage: Eukaryota; Metazoa; Mollusca; Gastropoda; Stylommatophora; Camaenidae. The record is from RNAcentral.